CCUACGGGCGGCAGCAGUGGGGAAUAUUGGACAAUGGGGGGAACCCUGAUCCAGCCAUGCCGCGUGUGUGAAGAAGGCCCUCGGGUUGUAAAGCACUUUCAGUGAGGAAGAACGCCUGGUGGUUAAUACCCAUCAGGAAAGACAUCACUCACAGAAGAAGCACCGGCUAACUCCGUGCCAGCAGCCGCGGUAAUACGGAGGGUGCGAGUGUUAAUCGGAAUUACUGGGCGUAAAGCGCGCGUAGGUGGCUUGAUAAGCCGGUUGUGAAAGCCCCGGGCUCAACCUGGGAACGGCAUCCGGAACUGUCAAGCUAGAGUGCAGGAGAGGAAGGUAGAAUUCCCGGUGUAGCGGUGAAAUGCGUAGAGAUCGGGAGGAAUACCAGUGGCGAAGGCGGCCUUCUGGACUGACACUGACACUGAGGUGCGAAAGCGUGGGUAGCAAACAGGAUUAGAUACCCUAGUAGUC
This 465-nucleotide ribosomal RNA is filed under the name Vreelandella stevensii. Its description in RNAcentral is "partial 16S ribosomal RNA". It matches the Rfam family "Bacterial small subunit ribosomal RNA", at positions 338 to 795 of the family's 1533-position model. The record is from RNAcentral. Lineage: Bacteria; Pseudomonadati; Pseudomonadota; Gammaproteobacteria; Oceanospirillales; Halomonadaceae.